RNAcentral lists this ribosomal RNA (429 nucleotides) under Pseudomonadota bacterium. RNAcentral describes it as "Proteobacteria bacterium partial 16S ribosomal RNA". It matches the Rfam family "Bacterial small subunit ribosomal RNA", at positions 355 to 776 of the family's 1533-position model. The record is from RNAcentral. Lineage: Bacteria; Pseudomonadati; Pseudomonadota.
UGGGGAAUAUUGGACAAUGGGCGAAAGCCUGAUCCAGCCAUGCCGCGUGUGUGAAGAAGGUCUUCGGAUUGUAAAGCACUUUAAGUUGGGAGGAAGGGCAGUAAGCGAAUACCUUGCUGUUUUGACGUUACCGACAGAAUAAGCACCGGCUAACUCUGUGCCAGCAGCCGCGGUAAUACAGAGGGUGCAAGCGUUAAACGGAAUUACUGGGCGUAAAGCGCGCGUAGGUGGUUCGUUAAGUUGAAUGUGAAAGCCCCGGGCUCAACCUGGGAACUGCAUCCAAAACUGGCGAGCUAGAGUAGGGCAGAGGGUGGUGGAAUUUCCUGUGUAGCGGUGAAAUGCGUAGAGAUCUGGAGGAAUACCGAUGGCGAAGGCAGCCAUCUGGCCUAACACUGACGCUGAGGUACGAAAGCAUGGGGAGCAAACAGG